CCUACGGGUGGCAGCAGUAGGGAAUCUUCCGCAAUGGACGAAAGUCUGACGGAGCAACGCCGCGUGAGUGAUGAAGGAUUUCGGUUCGUAAAGCUCUGUUGUUAGGGAAGAACAAGUGUCGUUCAAAUAGGGCGGCACCUUGACGGUACCUAACCAGAAAGCCACGGCUAACUACGUGCCAGCAGCCGCGGUAAUACGUAGGUGGCAAGCGUUGUCCGGAAUUAUUGGGCGUAAAGCGCGCGCAGGCGGUCUUUUAAGUCUGAUGUGAAAGCCCACGGCUCAACCGUGGAGGGUCAUUGGAAACUGGAAGACUUGAGUACAGAAGAGGAGAGUGGAAUUCCACGUGUAGCGGUGAAAUGCGUAGAUAUGUGGAGGAACACCAGUGGCGAAGGCGACUCUCUGGUCUGUAACUGACGCUGAGGCGCGAAAGCGUGGGGAG
RNAcentral lists this ribosomal RNA (439 nucleotides) under uncultured Sphaerobacter sp. RNAcentral's name for it is "bacterial SSU rRNA". It matches the Rfam family "Bacterial small subunit ribosomal RNA", at positions 338 to 768 of the family's 1533-position model. Lineage: Bacteria; Pseudomonadati; Thermomicrobiota; Thermomicrobia; Sphaerobacterales; Sphaerobacteraceae. The record is from RNAcentral.